AUCUGGCACCUUCGGUGUCCGAGUUGUAAUCUCUAGAAAUGUUUUCCGCGUUGGACCGCACACAAGUCUGUUGGAAUACAGCGGCAUAGUGGUGAGACCCCCGUAUAUGGUGCGGACGCCCAGCGCUUUGUGAUACAUUUUCGAAGAGUCGAGUUGUUUGGGAAUGCAGCUCAAAUUGGGUGGUAAAUUCCAUCUAAAGCUAAAUAUUGGCGAGAGACCGAUAGCGAACAAGUACCGUGAGGGAAAGAUGAAAAGCACUUUGGAAAGAGAGUUAACAGUACGUGAAAUUGUUGGAAGGGAAACGCUUGAAGUCAGACUUGCUUGCCGAGCAAUCGGUUUGCAGGCCAGCAUCAGUUUUCCGGGAUGGAUAAUGGUAGAGAGAAGGUAGCAGUUUCGGCUGUGUUAUAGCUCUCUGCUGGAAUACAUCUGGGGGGACUGAGGAACGCAGUGUGCCUUUGGCGGGGGUUUCGACCUCUUCACACUUAGGAUGCUGGUGGAAUGGCUUUAAACGACCCGUCUUGAAACACGGACCAAGGAGUCUAACAUGCUUGCGAGUAUUUGGGUGUCAAACCCGGAUGCGUAAUGAAAGUGAAUGGAGGUGGGAACCGCAAGGUGCACCAUCGACCGAUCUGGAUUUUUAAUGAUGGAUUUGAGUAAGAGCACGUAUGUUGGGACCCGAAAGAUGGUGAACUAUGCCUGAAUAGGGCGAAGCCAGAGGAAACUCUGGUGGAGGCUCGUAGCGGUUUCUGACGUGCAAAUCGAUCGUCAAA
RNAcentral lists this ribosomal RNA (770 nucleotides) under Rhodotorula mucilaginosa. Its description in RNAcentral is "eukaryotic LSU rRNA". It matches the Rfam family "Eukaryotic large subunit ribosomal RNA", at positions 120 to 909 of the family's 3401-position model. Lineage: Eukaryota; Fungi; Basidiomycota; Microbotryomycetes; Sporidiobolales; Sporidiobolaceae. The record is from RNAcentral.